UACGGGGGGGGCAAGCGUUGUUCGGAAUUACUGGGCGUAAAGCGUGCGCAGGCGGUUAUGUAAGACAGAUGUGAAAUCCCCGGGCUCAACCUGGGAACUGCAUUUGUGACUGCAUAGCUGGAGUACGGUAGAGGGGGAUGGAAUUCCGCGUGUAGCAGUGAAAUGCGUAGAUAUGCGGAGGAACACCGAUGGCGAAGGCAAUCCCCUGGACCUGUACUGACGCUCAUGCACGAAAGCGUGGGGAGCAAACAGG
Molecule: ribosomal RNA, 253 nt
Filed under: uncultured bacterium
Lineage: Bacteria
Description: partial 16S ribosomal RNA
Rfam family: Bacterial small subunit ribosomal RNA
Source: RNAcentral